GACGAACGCUGGCGGCGUGCCUAAUACAUGCAAGUAGAACGCUGAGGACUGGUGCUUGCACCGGUCCUAGGAGUUGCGAACGGGUGAGUAACGCGUAGGUAACCUACCUCAUAGCGGGGGAUAACUAUUGGAAACGAUAGCUAAUACCGCAUAAAAGUGUUUAACCCAUGUUAAACAUUUAAAAGGUGCAAUUGCAUCACUAUGAGAUGGACCUGCGUUGUAUUAGCCAGUUGGUGAGGUAACGGCUCACCAAGGCGACGAUACAUAGCCGACCUGAGAGGGUGAUCGGCCACACUGGGACUGAGACACGGCCCAGACUCCUACGGGAGGCAGCAGUAGGGAAUCUUCGGCAAUGGACGGAAGUCUGACCGAGCAACGCCGCGUGAGUGAAGAAGGUUUUCGGAUCGUAAAGCUCUGUUGUUAGAGAAGAAUGAUGGUGGGAGUGGAAAAUCCACCAUGUGACGGUAACUAACCAGAAAGGGACGGCUAACUACGUGCCAGCAGCCGCGGUAAUACGUAGGUCCCGAGCGUUGUCCGGAUUUAUUGGGCGUAAAGCGAGCGCAGGCGGUUCUUUAAGUCUGAAGUUAAAGGCAGUGGCUCAACCAUUGUACGCUUUGGAAACUGGAGAACUUGAGUGCAGAAGGGGAGAGUGGAAUUCCAUGUGUAGCGGUGAAAUGCGUAGAUAUAUGGAGGAACACCGGUGGCGAAAGCGGCUCUCUGGUCUGUAACUGACGCUGAGGCUCGAAAGCGUGGGGAGCAAACAGG
This 765-nucleotide ribosomal RNA is filed under the name uncultured Streptococcus sp. Its description in RNAcentral is "bacterial SSU rRNA". It matches the Rfam family "Bacterial small subunit ribosomal RNA", at positions 28 to 776 of the family's 1533-position model. The record is from RNAcentral. Lineage: Bacteria; Bacillati; Bacillota; Bacilli; Lactobacillales; Streptococcaceae.